AGGAUUGACAAGUCAGGAAUGCAGUUCAGAGCGUUUUUUGGCUUCCUACUCAGAAUGGUUCAACAAGAUCUUGUCUCAUAUGCAGCCUCCUUCAGAUUCCCAUUUCGUGAGGGUCGCUUCUUGUGCCUCAAUGUCUGAUCUGUUCACAAGGUUGGGUGGAUUUCCUAAUGCGAAGAAAGAUGGGAAUUCGCAAGCCUCUAAGCUUAUUCAACCAGUACUGAAGCUAUUAAAUGAGGAUAGCUCUGAUGCCUUCU
This is a long non-coding RNA of Coffea eugenioides, 254 nucleotides long. RefSeq lists it as uncharacterized. NCBI's taxonomy places the organism in Eukaryota, Viridiplantae, Streptophyta, Magnoliopsida, Gentianales, Rubiaceae. The record is from RefSeq and is a predicted model, not a curated record. The transcript is spliced from 3 exons.